This 224-nucleotide unclassified non-coding RNA is filed under the name uncultured fungus. RNAcentral describes it as "sequence contains ITS1, 5.8S rRNA gene". The stretch from base 176 to 224 matches the Rfam family "5.8S ribosomal RNA", at positions 1 to 49 of the family's 154-position model. The record is from RNAcentral. Lineage: Eukaryota; Fungi.
UCUCCGUUGGUGAACCAGCGGAGGGAUCAUUACAGAGUUUUCUAACUCCCAAACCCUUUGUGAACUUACUAUUUUGUUGCCUCGGCGGGCCUCUGAGAUUCGUCUCACGUCCGCCGGCGGCCCACAACUCAUUGUCUGACUCUAAGCAUCUCCGAGCCAUACACAAACGAAUCAAAACUUUCAACAACGGAUCUCUUGGUUCUGGCAUCGAUGAAGAACGCAGC